This 66-nucleotide transfer RNA is filed under the name Mekongiella xizangensis. RNAcentral's name for it is "tRNA-Cys". The record is from RNAcentral. Lineage: Eukaryota; Metazoa; Arthropoda; Insecta; Orthoptera; Pyrgomorphidae.
GGUCUUAUGUUCAAUAAUGAUUCUAGACUGCAAUUCUAGAGGUUUAAACUAAUAUUACUAAGGCCU